AUUGAACGCUGGCGGCAGGCCUAACACAUGCAAGUCGAGCGGAUGAAGGGAGCUUGCUCCUGGAUUCAGCGGCGGACGGGUGAGUAAUGCCUAGGAAUCUGCCUGGUAGUGGGGGAUAACGUCCGGAAACGGGCGCUAAUACCGCAUACGGCCUGAGGGAGAAAGUGGGGGAUCUUCGGACCUCACGCUAUCAGACGAGCCUAGGUCGGAUUAGCUAGUUGGUGGGGUAAAGGCCUACCAAGGCGACGAUCCGUAACUGGUCUGAGAGGAUGAUCAGUCACACUGGAACUGAGACACGGUCCAGACUCCUACGGGAGGCAGCAGUGGGGAAUAUUGGACAAUGGGCGAAAGCCUGAUCCAGCCAUGCCGCGUGUGUGAAGAAGGUCUUCGGAUUGUAAAGCACUUUAAGUUGGGAGGAAGGGCAGUAAGUUAAUACCUUGCUGUUUUGACGUUACCAACAGAAUAAGCACCGGCUAACUUCGUG
This 484-nucleotide ribosomal RNA is filed under the name uncultured bacterium. RNAcentral describes it as "partial 16S ribosomal RNA". It matches the Rfam family "Bacterial small subunit ribosomal RNA", at positions 30 to 507 of the family's 1533-position model. The record is from RNAcentral.